This 209-nucleotide ribosomal RNA is filed under the name Clostridioides difficile. RNAcentral's name for it is "partial 23S ribosomal RNA". It matches the Rfam family "Bacterial large subunit ribosomal RNA", at positions 580 to 788 of the family's 2925-position model. Lineage: Bacteria; Bacillati; Bacillota; Clostridia; Peptostreptococcales; Peptostreptococcaceae. The record is from RNAcentral.
CACAUUUCUUGUGUGACCGCGUACUUUUUGUAGAACGGGCCAACGAGUUACGUUAAGUAGCAAGGUUAAGCACUUAAGGUGUGGAGCCGUAGCGAAAGCGAGUUUUAACUGAGCGUUCAGUUACUUGCCGUAGACCCGAAACCGGGCGACCUACCCAUGAGCAGGAUGAAGCGAAAGUAAAAUUUCGUGGAGGUCCGAACCCACGAGCG